CCUUACGCACAGAGAUUGUUCCAGAUUCUCUGAAUCUUUGGAUGAUAUUAUGCACUGUAUAUGAUGAUAACUUCAAACUCUUUGCUAUUUUUCUCUGAGAAACUCCUUUCUGAUAUUGCUCCACUAUUUUUCGCCGCAGCAUUGGGGGAAUUGGUUAUCCUCUGCCCAUCUUGACUUCUGAGAGACACUGCCACUCUGAGAGGCUCUUUUUAUACCCAAUCAUGUUGCCAAUUGGUCCUCCAGCUGUUCCUUAUAUGUACAUUUAACUUUUCCGGCCUCUUAUUGCUACCUGUCCCAACUUUUUUGGAAUGUGUAGCUCUCAUGAAAUCCAAAAUGAGCCAAUAUUUGGCAUGACAUUUCAAAAUGUCUCACUUUCAACAUUUGAUAUGUUAUCUAUAUUCUAUUGUGAAUAAAAUGUAAGUUUAUGAGAUUUGUAAAUUAUUGCAUUCCUUUUUUAUUCACAAUUUGUACAGUGUCUCAACUUUUUUGGAAUCGGGUUUGUAAAUGACAUAAACAAAUUAGAAAUGACGAUGCAAUAUAUUGGUUGUAAAUCACUAAUUAUAAUUAAGAAAUACCAUAUUUGAAGUAGGCGUUAUAGUGUCAGAAUCUAGGAAUCCAUUAGAAUGUAGGAAUACUGACAAUUUGCAAUACUUUAUUGUGAGUACUUGAGUGUAGGUGCCGCCCUGUUUAGUCAGACCGCCGCGAUUCCCGCUUCCAUGAUGAUAACAGCAAUUAUUCUGAUUGGUAGAGCCGCUGCAGGAUUGUGGAUAAUGUAUAUGAAUGAAUUAAAAAGCAUAAACCUUAGAGAUCAUCACAAGUCUGCCUCGAAAGGUUUAUAUGUUAUCAGUGAAAGUAAAUCUUUUUAUGGAUAAAAAAAGUAGUUUUUUUGUUGUUUGUUUUGUUUUUUCAAGGGAGUAACUAGAAUCUAGAACUCUCUAUCUUUUGCAAGAAUAAAAAAAAUUAUGUAAUUUGUCUUUUGAGUACUAUAAAGGCUCACAGAUGAACAUUUUUUACACCUAACAUAAAGGCUCCAGAACACCCACAUACACACUUAUAAAUAUAUAAUUAUUUAAUGAUCAUUCAGUCAGAGAGUAAAUCUAAAGAAAUAUGUCAAAUGUUCAAGAAUUAUCAAUGCAAGGCAUAAAUACACACACACACACACAAAUCCAUUCAGUGCUUAAUAACUAAAUGAUUCAUCUAAAAAGUGAUGUCUAGAGAAAAUGCAUUCACAAAAUGAGAAUUCAUGGCAUAAAUUCUAAAUAAAAACACAGAAAUAUAUAAUAUCAAGAACAUCAGGUGCGUAAGAGAUACAGGCAGCUGUCAGAACACAUUUUGACAUAAGCCAUGUUUUCUGAUCCCUUAAGCGCAUCUGGAGACUUCUCAUAUUGACUGAACUUUCAACCUCAAAUGUUAAACGAAUGUGAGCCUCUUCUAGUGUGCAGCCAAAGAGAAUAUCUCAAUGAAAGCAGGACAGCACUUUCUGUAAGGAACUAAGUGUUUGGACACAAAGCCUGAGGCAAUAUAUGUUGUCAUUUUUGUAAACUCAUAAUGUAAAUGUGUGACAUGACAUGCAAGCACCAUCCAACUUAUCUUCUUCUCAAUAUCAACCACAUAUAGGUCAAACACAUACACGCUAAAUUAAAAGUGGUAUGCUUUUAAGAGGCUUUUUUGUCCUUUUUGGAUGUGUACCUGAAGCUCAAACAGUAGAGUAUGGUACUAACAACACAAAGGACAUGGGUUCAAUUCCCAUCUAUGAACUGAUCAAAUAUAAAAAUUUAAUGCAAUGCAAGUUUCUUUGGACAAAAGCAUCUGCCAAAUUCAUCAAUGCAAAAAUACAGAGUAGUGUACAGAAAAAAAAAAAGAUAACUUUAAUUAUAACUUUUAUUAAAAUCAUUACAAUGCUUAACAGAAUAUAAAUCAUAAAGCUAAUAAAUAUCUCAUAAUUGUCUUGAAAACGCAAUAUAUAUAUAUAUACACACAGCCCAUCUUCUCUGCAGACCCCCUAGAGUACCUUCAGGGACCCCCAGCUGGUUCACAGACCCCUGACUGAGAACGAUGGCCUUUUGUUUUGCAGUAAUACUUAAAGGUCAGUAUCUUUAAGAUGUUGGAAAAGUGACAUUAAAGUGAUCAUUUAUUUAGCCUCAUGUCAUGCCAAACUCUUAUAACUUUUUCUCUUCCAUGGAACACAAAAGGAGAUAUUUAGAGAUGCUCUCUUGCAUAAAAUUGGUGAAAGUGGAUGGGGACUAGGGAAUGUCUAGCUCCAAAAACAAAAACAAAAAAAAAACACCAUUAAGUGUCCAUAAGACUUGUGCUCUAUAUUCCAAGUCUUCUACAGCCAUACAAUAGGUUAUUAGUCUUUAUUCACUGAAAAUCUUGCCUUGCAGCUUUGGCCACCAUUAACUUUCAUUUAAAGGAAAAGAGCAGCAUGAACUCUGCGUUAAAUAACUACUUUUGUGUUCCACUAAAGAAAGAACAUGUGGAUGAGAAAAUUAUGAUAGAAUUUCAUUUGUGAGACAACUAACCCUCACCCAAAAAUUAAAAUUCUGUCAUUAAUUACUCUGUCGUUUUCAAACCCGUAAGACAUUCAUUAAUUUUCGGAACACAAAUGAAGAUCUUUUUAAUGAAAUCUGAGAGUGUUCUGUCCCUCCAUUGACAGUCUACGCAACUACCACUAUCAAGCCCCAGAAAGGUAGUAAAGACAUCAUUAAAGUAAUCCAUGUGACUCCAGUGAUUUAACCUCAAUUUUAUAAAGCAAUGUGACUGAUUUGUUUGCUCAAAAAAAAGAAAAAAAAACAAACAUAUUUUACCACUUUAUUUACAAAAUAUUAAUCUCCAACGCACGUUCACGCAACAAUGUCUGCUCUCGCGUCAACACAACACGCAUGCAUUGUGGUGCUCUUGUGAACGCGCGUUGGAGUUUAAUGUUUUGAUUAUAUGAAAUCUUAUGGGUUUGGAAUGACGUAAAGUUGAGUAAUUAAUGACAGAAUUUUCAUUUUUGGGUGAACUAACCCUUCAAUGUGUUGUACAGUUAUCAUCCAAUUUUCAAUCUCACGCAGUCAAGAUGCUUGUCGUGAAUAGCAGGGGUGAAGAAAUGUGACAUCUGGAGUGAUGUAAUAUCAGCUUCCAUUGCUAGACGAGUUAUAAAGAGCAAUAUCCAGCUCCGUGGAUUGAGAUGAGCUUAGGUAGAUUAAUGCUAGGGGACUGAAAUGUUUGUUGUAUAAAACCGCAGUUUAUACAACAAUGUGUCACAGCAGUAUAUGAAAGACUGUAAUCUGGCAGAUGGCCUGAAGCCCAAGAGCUGCUCCAUAUUAAUGGGAAUAUCACAAGGUUUAGAGUUCAUGCGAGUCAAUGAGAUUUCAGAUUGCACCUCAUAGAGAGAGAGAGAGAGAGAGAGAGAGAGAGAGAGAGAGAGAGAAAGCAAAGGAGGACUGGGAUUACAACAAGGAUAACUUAAUCUGUAGGGUUCCCCCCUCCACAUCAAAAAAAAAAAAAAAAAAAAAAAAAAAUGGAGCACGCCCCAUAAUUUUAGCAUUCAAGGAAAGUGGACCAAGUAGGCACACCAAACAAUGUACGCUAGAUCACUGUUGGCCUAUCAGCUUAGAGUGCCACCGAUGCCCUGUGGACCUCUUCUGUAACGCUGAGCACGCUCAGUCGACUCGCUUCAGAUCUCUGCUACGCCGAUCCUCCUCCACACACUCAGUCGCAAACGCAUCCAACAAGGGACAGCUUCCGCUCGCCGGGAUAUUCUGGGGGUCGCCGACUGCCUGAAAGACGGAAGAAAGAAGAGACUGCAGGAAUCGGCACCUACUUAGCUGCCCCAAUCCAGCCAGGCAUCUUCAACAUCUGCCAGCACGUACGCUCAGCUCUGAGCCCCUCUGCCUCGUGCCAGCUUUCUCAGCAAUCUCAGCUUUGUUGCCACCGAUCCUCGUAUUCCACUGAAGAGCUGUCACAAUCUGUUCCACUUUCUUCUCUCUCAUUGAAUUCCGGAUGUCCUCCGCUUCCCCCAAGGCAUCACCAACAUUUCAGAUCUUUGACUGUUAAAAAAGAGACUCCUGCCUCCCAUUGGCAACUUUUGGACUGACCAGAGGUGUCCCACUUCCUGCUCCAGAGAUUGAGACGUGGUGAAGCUGGGGGUUCCUCGCUACCGCUGAGUAAUCCCUCAUCUCCCAGCAUGCCCCACUCCAUGCAGCAGAAACACGCCCAACAGAUGCUCCUUCUGUGCCAGGGUAUAAACGGCUCAAGGGAGAACGGACCAGCUCCCCCCAGCUGGAGCCACAAACGAAGUUACUCAGGUGAGCAUGUCAGAAAGUCAAUCACUCAGCAGUCGACGUUUCAAACCAAAAAGCAAAUGCAAAGUGAAUAAAGUAAUAAAGAUUUAAGAAAUUGUUGCAUUUCCCUCUAAUAUUUCCCUAGAAAAGAAACUAUUAUAAUAAUAAUAUAAUAAUAAAAAAAAAAAAAAAAAAACAGGUGUUCCUGGUGACAUUUCUCUCAACUGCUCAAGCUUAAAACUACAGGUGAUAAUUAUGUAAAAAGUAGCCUAGUAUAUGUAGGUCAGAGCUGUCCAAUUACAGUUAGCUUUACAGAAGUGUGAGAACAAAUGUGAUUACAACACAUUGAAAACGGAGUUCUUACUCCUUCGACUAUCACAUACUAUCUCAUAAUUUCUGAUUAUGUAUUCACAUCUCUCAAGAGAUUGAAGCUCACACAUGUAUGCAACACAUAAGAACUUUCAAAGCAAAUCAAAGUCUUGACAUCAAUAUUCAGUAAAAAAAAAACUAUUUUAUUAUAUUUUUCUUUGUCAUUAUGGAUCUACAGGAAGCAGUUUUUUUUUUUUUUUUUUUUUAAACGAUGUAUUUACAAUACACAAGAGCAACAAGUAUAUACCAUAUGGUUAUUAUAAACACUUUAUAAAAUCAAUGUAGAGCAGGAAAACAUUUUUUCAGGCUUUAAUAGUAUAUAACUUGUUCUACGCAGUUAAUUUUCAUAGUUUUUUCCACAGUAACAACUUUACAAGCAAUCUUCAUCAUGAUUCUAAUGUAAACUCAUGCUGACACACCAGCCUGAAAGGACAUCAUCUCAAAACCUACUCCCUGUGCUGUGCUGCAAACAGGCCUGAAAUGUAAAAACGUCAAGAGCAAAACAGAUUCCAAGACUACAAGCCAGCCAAAAUUUACAACCCAGCGGAAAAGUUCCUUGCAUUCCAGAGUCUGUUAUAUAUAACCUAUUACAUACUAAUAUAAUUAAUUGCAGUAGCAAUAACAAUGUGAGAUUAUAAACUGCCCUGGGGGAUAUUCACAUAGGCUAUUAAGUUCAUGUUGUUCAACAGUAUUGCUCAGCACUUUAACUUAUGAUAAUAAAUCACCUGAAAACCAGAACUUGUAAUAAAUUACAGACUAUAUAGGCUAUUUGCUAAAAUAUAGGCUAAUGUUAAAAUGCGUGCUAAAAACAGAACAUUAAAUGUUUAUCUCUCACACAAACAUCGAAGAUAGUGCUCGCUAUGCCAGUGUUUGCUGAACUUUCAUUACUGACGUAACCUGCAUUCUUCAUGUUGGCCGAUGCUUAUCCAUUAUAUCAGAAGGGUCAAUUUAACUACUUUUUUUUUUUUUUUUUUUUAUCAGGGACUCUAAUGCGAUGAUAUGUGUCUCAAGGGAUACUG
Long non-coding RNA from Ctenopharyngodon idella (grass carp), 5656 nucleotides. RefSeq lists it as uncharacterized. Lineage: Eukaryota; Metazoa; Chordata; Actinopteri; Cypriniformes; Xenocyprididae. The transcript has 2 exons. The record is from RefSeq and is a predicted model, not a curated record.